UACGAAGGGUGCAAGCGUUAAUCGGAAUUACUGGGCGUAAAGCGUGCGUAGGCGGUGCGUUAAGUCUGUCGUGAAAUCCCCGGGCUCAACCUGGGAAUGGCGAUGGAUACUGGCUCGCUAGAGUGUGAUAGAGGAUGGUGGAAUUCCCGGUGUAGCGGUGAAAUGCGUAGAGAUCGGGAGGAACAUCAGUGGCGAAGGCGGCCAUCUGGAUCAACACUGACGCUGAGGCACGAAAGCGUGGGGAGCAAACAGG
Molecule: ribosomal RNA, 253 nt
Filed under: uncultured bacterium
Lineage: Bacteria
Description: partial 16S ribosomal RNA
Rfam family: Bacterial small subunit ribosomal RNA
Source: RNAcentral